CCUUUGCUAAAUAUUUACCUGUCUUUCCAUCCAGGAGUUCAGCUCAGCUCGUGUUUGAAACCCAAAAGCAAAAUGUCCAGCAACUUCAAGCUUUUAGUGAAAGGUGCAAAACAGGUGGUUUUAGUGGGUAAAAAUGGCGAGAAGUUUCUGACCAAAGAGGGGAUGCAGAAUUUGGCAGUUAUUGAGAAUGGGAGUGUGGUGAUUGGACAUGAUGGACUGAUAAAAGCUGUGGGAUCAGCAGACUCCAUUGAGUUGCAGUUCAGAGACGCAGUGUUCAAUAAGGUUAUAGAUGCUACUGGCAUGUGUGUUCUCCCUGGCUUGAUUGAUGCACACACACAUCCAGUUUGGGCUGGGGACAGAGUUCAUGAGUUUGCAAUGAAGCUUGCUGGAGCUACAUACAUGGAGGUGCAUGAGGCUGGAGGGGGCAUUCACUUCACAGUGAAGCACACACGUGCAGCAUCUUCAGAAACUCUGCUGGAGGGGUUAAAGGGCCGUUUGGAGCGCAUGCUGAGAGCCGGCACUACGCUGGUGGAGUGUAAGAGCGGAUAUGGGUUGGACCUCGACGCUGAGCUAAAAAUGCUAAGCGUUAUAGAUGCUGCACGGAGGAGCAUGCCUAUCGGGAUAUCCUCAACAUACUGCGGAGCCCAUGCUGUGCCCAGAGGUAAGACUAUGGAGGAGGCAACAGAGGACAUUCUGUCUGUGCAGCUGCCCACUAUACAGAAGCAGAUUACAGAAGGCAGCCUUCAGGUGGACAACAUUGACGUGUUCUGUGAGAAAGGUGUUUUCGACCUCAACUCCACAUGCCGAAUUCUGCAGGCUGGUAAAGACAUGGGCCUCAACAUCAACUUCCACGGAGAUGAACUUCAUCCUAUGAACUCUGCACAGCUUGGGGCGAAACUUGCUGCUUUAGCCAUAAGCCACCUGGAGGAGGUGACAGAUGAGGGCAUUGCUGCCAUGGCAGCCGCCAAGACAUCAGCCAUCCUUUUGCCGACCACUGCCUAUAUUCUCAGGCUCCCGUGUCCUCGUGCCAGAGAUAUGCUUGAUGCUGGAGUUAUAGUAUCACUUGGCAGCGACUUCAAUCCGAAUGCUUACUGCUGUUCAAUGACAUGCCACUCUCUGUUAGCCCAUGGUGAUGCACCUGGCCUGCGUUACACUGAAGAUGUCCAUGCCUGAAGCUCUGGCAGCCGCCACCAUAAAUGCAGCCUACGCCCUCAAUCGCUCCCACUCACACGGAUCACUAGAGCCCAGCAAACAAGGAGACCUGCUCAUAAUUAACGCACCAAGAUGGGAGCAUCUCAUUUACCAGUUUGGAAGCCAUCAGGAGCUCAUCGGAUUUGUCAUCAUCAAAGGCACCAUUGUUUAUGAGAACGACAAAGUUUUGGAUCUCUGAAUGUACACAAAGGUGAUUUAUAUAUGAGAUUAUUUACUCUCAUAAGACAAAACAGUCCAUAUGAAGCAAUCUAUUACAGUAACUGAAGUAUUUACUUCACAUGACAAGAUUCUGUAACCCUUACACAUAAAUAAUAUAAAUAAUGAUAUGAAACAACUGUUAAAAAAUAAAGGCUUUAGAGUUGUCCAAA
RNA transcript from Colossoma macropomum (tambaqui), 1580 nucleotides. It is a transcript of the gene named amidohydrolase domain containing 1, with no coding region annotated. Lineage: Eukaryota; Metazoa; Chordata; Actinopteri; Characiformes; Serrasalmidae. The record is from RefSeq and is a predicted model, not a curated record. The transcript has 9 exons.